GACGAACGCUGGCGGCGUGCUUAACACAUGCAAGUCGAACGAAGAGCGAUGUAAGCUUGCUUCUAUCAAUCUUAGUGGCGAACGGGUGAGUAACGCGUAAUCAACCUGCCCUUCAGAGGGGGACAACAGUUGGAAACGACUGCUAAUACCGCAUACGAUCUAAUCUCGGCAUCGAGGAUAGAUGAAAGGUGGCCUCUACAUGUAAGCUAUCACUGAAGGAGGGGAUUGCGUCUGAUUAGCUAGUUGGAGGGGUAACGGCCCACCAAGGCGAUGAUCAGUAGCCGGUCUGAGAGGAUGAACGGCCACAUUGGGACUGAGACACGGCCCAGACUCCUACGGGAGGCAGCAGUGGGGAAUCUUCCGCAAUGGACGAAAGUCUGACGGAGCAACGCCGCGUGAGCGAUGACGGCCUUCGGGUUGUAAAGCUCUGUUAAUCGGGACGAAAGGCCUUCUUGCGAAUAGUGAGAAGGAUUGACGGUACCGGAAUAGAAAGCCACGGCUAACUACGU
This 509-nucleotide ribosomal RNA is filed under the name uncultured bacterium. Its description in RNAcentral is "partial 16S ribosomal RNA". It matches the Rfam family "Bacterial small subunit ribosomal RNA", at positions 28 to 506 of the family's 1533-position model. The record is from RNAcentral.